RNAcentral lists this ribosomal RNA (420 nucleotides) under bacterium. RNAcentral describes it as "partial 16S ribosomal RNA". It matches the Rfam family "Bacterial small subunit ribosomal RNA", at positions 355 to 776 of the family's 1533-position model. The record is from RNAcentral.
UGGGGGAUAUUGCACAAUGGGCGAAAGCCUGAUGCAGCGACGCCGCGUGGGGGAUGAAGGCUUUCGGGUUGUAAACCUCUUUCGCUAUCGAACAAGGCCCGCUUAGGGUGGGUUGAGGGUAGGUGGAGAAGAAGCGCCGGCUAACUACGUGCCAGCAGCCGCGGUAAUACGUAGGGCGCGAGCGUUGUCCGGAAUUAUUGGGCGUAAAGGGCUUGUAGGCGGCUUGUUGCGCCUGCUGUGAAAACGCGGGGCUUAACUUCGCGCGUGCAGUGGGUACGGGCAGGCUUGAGUGUGGUAGGGGUGACUGGAAUUCCAGGUGUAGCGGUGGAAUGCGCAGAUAUCUGGAGGAGCACGGAUGGCGAAGGCAGGUCACUGGGCCAUUACUGACGCUGAGGAGCGAAAGCAUGGGUAGCGAACAGG